This 272-nucleotide non-coding RNA is filed under the name Enterococcus sp. Its description in RNAcentral is "T-box sequence". It matches the Rfam family "T-box leader". Rfam says of the family: Uncharged tRNA acts as the effector for transcription antitermination of genes in the T-box leader family. T-boxes are found upstream of many aminoacyl-tRNA synthetase genes and some amino acid biosynthetic genes usually in Gram-positive bacteria. The anticodon of a specific tRNA base pairs to a specifier sequence within the T-box motif, and the NCCA acceptor tail of the tRNA base pairs to a conserved bulge in the T-box antiterminator hairpin. The record is from RNAcentral. Lineage: Bacteria; Bacillati; Bacillota; Bacilli; Lactobacillales; Enterococcaceae.
GAAAGAACGAUGAUCAGAAUAGUAGGUGAAUCGAUUCGCUUCAGAGAGUUUCCGGUUGCUGCAAGGAAAUAGCGAGCCAUCAUUGAACACGCCUGUAAGUUGUUUUUCUGAAAUAACAAGUUAGUUUAACGAAAAUUCUUUCGUUUUCUAAAUGAGUAGGAAAAAUCGGAGAGUCCGUUAUCACUCCAUAGUUUAUCUAACUAACAGAGGUUUUUACUGUGAAGUAAAAGCAAAUCUGAGGUGGGACCACGUGAAAAUUUCUCGUCCUCUUG